UACGGAGGGUGCAAGCGUUGUUCGGAUUUACUGGGCGUAAAGCGUGCGCAGGCGGUGAUGUAAGACAGGUGUGAAAUCCCCGGGCUUAACCUGGGAACUGCAUUUGUGACUGCAUCGCUGGAGUGCGGCAGAGGGGGAUGGAAUUCCGCGUGUAGCAGUGAAAUGCGUAGAUAUGCGGAGGAACACCGAUGGCGAAGGCAAUCCCCUGGGCCUGCACUGACGCUCAUGCACGAAAGCGUGGGGAGCAAACAGG
RNAcentral lists this ribosomal RNA (253 nucleotides) under uncultured bacterium. Its description in RNAcentral is "partial 16S ribosomal RNA". It matches the Rfam family "Bacterial small subunit ribosomal RNA", at positions 524 to 776 of the family's 1533-position model. The record is from RNAcentral.